Molecule: long non-coding RNA, 206 nt
Filed under: Elaeis guineensis (African oil palm)
Lineage: Eukaryota; Viridiplantae; Streptophyta; Magnoliopsida; Arecales; Arecaceae
Description: long non-coding RNA (EGUI_LNC047415)
Source: RNAcentral
CCGUAUGCAGUCUAUGUGGAUUCUAGUUUCCAUUAAGGAAUUAAAGUAAUUUCUCAAAUUGGAGGUAGAGGCUAUCAAUUCAUAUAAAAUAGUGGGAGAGUCUUUAGACUAAAGUUCAAAUUUUAAGCUUAAAAUAGUUUAUAUAUUAAAAGAUUAAUUAUUUUCUUUUCAGAAAUGACUAGAAUAUUGUUGCUCUAUCCACUGUU